GAUGAACGCUGGCGGCGUGCCUAAUACAUGCAAGUCGAACGCUUCACUUCGGUGAAGAGUGGCGAACGGGUGAGUAAUACCUAAGUAACCUGGCAUCUACAGGGGGAUAACUGAUGGAAACGUCAGCUAAGACCGCAUAGGUGUAGAGAUCGCAUGAACUCUAUAUGAAAAGUGCUACGGGACUGGUAGAUGAUGGACUUAUGGCGCAUUAGCUUGUUGGUAGGGUAACGGCCUACCAAGGCGACGAUGCGUAGCCGACCUGAGAGGGUGACCGGCCACACUGGGACUGAGACACGGCCCAGACUCCUACGGGAGGCAGCAGUAGGGAAUUUUCGGCAAUGGGGGAAACCCUGACCGAGCAACGCCGCGUGAAGGAAGAAGUAAUUCGGUAUGUAAACUUCUGUCAUAGAGGAAGAACGGUGGAUAUAGGGAAUGAUAUCCAAGUGACGGUACUCUAUAAGAAAGCCACGGCUAACUACGUG
Molecule: ribosomal RNA, 482 nt
Filed under: uncultured bacterium
Lineage: Bacteria
Description: partial 16S ribosomal RNA
Rfam family: Bacterial small subunit ribosomal RNA
Source: RNAcentral